GAAAUGCGAUAAGUAAUGUGAAUUGCAGAAUUCAGUGAAUCAUCGAAUCUUUGAACGCACCUUGCGCUCCUUGGUAUUCCUUGGAGCAUGCCUGUUUGAGUAUCAUGAAAUCUUCAAAGUAAAUCUUUUGUUAACUCAAUUGGCUUCUACUUUGGUAUUGGAGGUCUUUGCAGCUUCACACCUGCUCCUCUUUGUUCAUUAGCUGGAUCUCAGUGUUAUGCUUGGUUCCACUCGGCGUGAUAAGUUAUCUAUCGCUGAGGACACUGUAAAAGGUGGCCAAGGUAAAUGCAGAUGAACCGCUUCUAAUAGUCCAUUGACUUGGGCAAUACUUUUAUGAUCUGAUCUCAAAUCAGGUAGGACUACCCGCUGAACUUAAGC
Molecule: unclassified non-coding RNA, 378 nt
Filed under: plant metagenome
Description: partial contains 5.8S ribosomal RNA, internal transcribed spacer 2, and large subunit ribosomal RNA
Rfam family: 5.8S ribosomal RNA (bases 1-105)
Source: RNAcentral